This 2491-nucleotide long non-coding RNA is filed under the name Elaeis guineensis (African oil palm). RNAcentral's name for it is "long non-coding RNA (EGUI_LNC038733)". The record is from RNAcentral. Lineage: Eukaryota; Viridiplantae; Streptophyta; Magnoliopsida; Arecales; Arecaceae.
GGUGACAUGCCAGCAGCUAGUCAUAGUACUCCAACCGCUUCAAUACUAGUAGUUGAUGAGCUAAUGGGCUAGAGUUGCCAUAAAAGACCAAUAGCUUCUUCAGCAGCACUAACACUAGCAUUUGGAGACCAAACAAGAUAAGAUUCUUUUAUCUUCUCCAGUUUCCACUGUCUUAGUGUCUUUAGCUUCUUAGCUUCGAGCACUUGAAAAAGGAAGCAUGUUCUUAACCCAGCUUAGAUAGACUGACAUGGUCAGCACGGGAUUGCAUAAGAUAUUCAUAUGCAAUUUAUUCCCUAUUACUUUGAGAAGAGAAUCAUUGGUUUGACCGACGAGCUAUGUGAAAAAUACGAGAUCUAGGCAAGCCGCUACAUGUUCUCCCCUUGCCCUUGAACGAUGGAUAGAAGAACUACUUAUCUUCUCUUAGAUAGCGGUCGAUCGGUUCGCAUCUCAAUAGGUCUGCAGAUCUAUUUUCUUCUAUACGAAAAAUCACCAUCUCGUAGCACCACCACGACACCGAUUCUCAUUCUUAUUCUGAGCCAGCCCCCCCAUGCCGUGACUUUGACUUUGAGUAUGAUGAAUGAGUGGAAAGAUCUUUUAUAGAAGUUCCCUGUCCGAUCCAACCAAUGAGUUCGUAUCGAAAAUAUAUCCCUUCUGCACUACAAACAAAAUGAAGGGUGCCGUUACAACACAAGAACCAGACAAAAAUGGAGUAUGCUUACUUACCAAAUUGUGCUCUAUCUUAUAAUCUAAAAAACUGUUCUUCUCGUUCAUUUUAGAGGCCUUGUAGGCGAAACCGCAUAGAGAUAGCUUCACUGAAGACAGGAAUAGCUAAACUAACUACUACUGACUGACUAUUCCUAUACCUAUUUUUUACCUAUUUUAUUAUAGGCCUACCCCGGACCGAGGGCCGCUCUACCAGCUCUGAUUUCACCAUCGGGUAUAGUAGAUGACAAAAUCGAGAAAACCUGAAAGUCAGAUUCUCGACUUCAACCAUUCACUAUAGCUUAUACCCGUAUGGAGCCAACCGUCAUAGUAUAGAUAUGGCAUGGGGACAGAGACACAGUACCGCGUGUCCGCGCAACCUCUCGCUUCUCCACCCCCGAAAGGAGUAAUAUCCAUAGCCAGCGGAUUGAUUCCCUUCCGAUCAUGGCCUUCUUCUCGUACAUAGCGCUUACAAGUUUGUAGCUUCCAAAACAAAACUAGUUUACAGGUUCCUUCCCGAAUUGACUUUCGCAGUCCCCCACUCUGAAUGGUUACUGGACAAGAAGAGGGGAGCUAAUCCCUUGAACUUAUAGCAAUCAACUUGUUUGAUCCCCAUGUUCAUCCGCUUGGUUUCAUCUUAAAGGUAGCUAACCACAUGCUUUCCAUGAUCAUAUACAACAACAGAUCGGAGGUUAGUUUCCCGUUCGAGAAUCUAUCUAAUGGAACGUGGGACUCUACCCCACCCAAAGGACUGGGCGGGCUUCCGGGUUUGUGUUGUGUUUUUGUUCCGUAAAAGUCAGUCUUUGCCUUUAGAUUGCACGAUACAAGAAAUCCUAGUGGCAGUGCUGAUCACUUCAGGAAAGUAGGGGGUUCUCAAGGGGACGACCAAAGAGAAAGCGAAUGGACAAGUAGUCGGAAACUGAAGGCUACAAAAAAGAUUGGUAAAAAAGCAAGCCAGGAAGCGAAAGUAGGGAGGGGGUAGACAAGAGUGGUGCAGGUGCAAGGCAAGCUAAGGGUAAGUGGGUCCAGCGGGGUCAGUCUGGACCGGGUCAUAAAGUGGCACAGAUAAUAGCAAUAUAGGCGGAAAAAGAUUGAAAAAGGGUCGAGGAGUACGAGGAUGAUGACGAUCGUGAAUUCUUCAAAAGAUUGUUGGAGCAAAAGAACUGGCAGAUCGAUCACCUUGUAGCUGAGAAUGACGCAUUGAAAGCGGCCUAGACCACUGACCUUUGAUGGGAGGCUUCUUCCAAUGGAUUGGUCUUCGAAAGCCUAUUUUUCAGUGAAGAAAAUAGUACUUUACUGAGAGCACUAGACCUUCUCUCUUUCUGGAUUGAUUCCCACUCACUGCCUAAUAGCUGGCUUGGCCCAUGAGACCUAUUGUCUUAUUUAUUAUCCUGGCUCACUUCACUACUUUGGAGAAUGGGUUUUUCCCCUUUCUGGUUCGCAAAUGCUCUAACCCAUCGGGAAGCUCCAUCCAAAUUCUAGUUGAUGUGAGCACUUCCCCAGAGGCAGAGUCUGAGUCUACAAAAGGGUGAAAGCAAAAAAUGUAGGUGAGGGAAUUGCGUGUGGUGGAUAGUUCGUUAGCAAAGAGACUCAUUCUACGGUAGUGAGGAGCUAUGGAUCGGCCAAAUCCCUUGUUUUGAGCUCUGAACCCUCGAUGGCGUAAUCCAUUGGAUCUAGUCGCGGUAGGGUGAGAUCAGUUCAGAAGGAUAGAUCCCCUGAAGGGAGAGUUCGUCAACCAAUCUCAAGUAGGGUUGUCUGAUUUUAUUCGCUCCAGUAUGGGCGUAGGUAU